UCCUUCUAGUUAGCAACUCGCUCGGC
This 26-nucleotide non-coding RNA is filed under the name Mus musculus (house mouse). The record is from RNAcentral. Lineage: Eukaryota; Metazoa; Chordata; Mammalia; Rodentia; Muridae.